GGGAGCGGAGCGGGUCUGGUGGCCCGGCCGGUCUUCAAAACCGUGACCGGGGCGGUUCUGCCGUCCCGGGUGGGUUCGAUUCCCACACGCUCCCGCCA
RNAcentral lists this transfer RNA (98 nucleotides) under Armatimonadota bacterium. RNAcentral describes it as "Armatimonadetes bacterium (anaerobic digester metagenome) tRNA-Sec". It matches the Rfam family "Selenocysteine transfer RNA". The record is from RNAcentral. Lineage: Bacteria; Bacillati; Armatimonadota.